CGAAAGUCAAAGAUCAGAAAGAGUAAAUAUAGAAAUUGAGUCCAAGCGAGUCUGGAAUGGUGUGAGCCGGAUACUGCAGUCUAUAUUGAAUGGUUCUGUGAGACGAAAUGUGAAAUGAUAGUAGCAUUUUACGGGAGUCAGCCGUUACAAUGACAGGGUAUCGAUGUAUUUCUGUACCUGGAAAAGAAAAUCUACAUUUAGGUGGCAUAGCGAGUAAAAUAUCUCGUCCUAAAAGGACGAGAUAUUUUUUUAUUUUUAAUUUUAUAUUAUAAGCUAUGUUUGGCCAGUAUAGUAGAUAAAUAUGGGUGGCACCACGAGUCACUUCGUCCCAUAA
Molecule: non-coding RNA, 334 nt
Filed under: Garciella nitratireducens
Lineage: Bacteria; Bacillati; Bacillota; Clostridia; Eubacteriales; Eubacteriaceae
Description: T-box sequence
Rfam family: T-box leader (bases 1-234)
About the family: Uncharged tRNA acts as the effector for transcription antitermination of genes in the T-box leader family. T-boxes are found upstream of many aminoacyl-tRNA synthetase genes and some amino acid biosynthetic genes usually in Gram-positive bacteria.
Source: RNAcentral